Molecule: long non-coding RNA, 679 nt
Filed under: Lathyrus oleraceus (garden pea)
Lineage: Eukaryota; Viridiplantae; Streptophyta; Magnoliopsida; Fabales; Fabaceae
Description: Pisum sativum (pea) long non-coding RNA (PSAT_LNC031655)
Source: RNAcentral
AGAGAGAAACGCACGGGAAAGAGAAAAUCGCAUGGAGAAAGAGAAAAAACACAGGGAGAAGGGCUGACCGUUGACGAUUGCGGCGAUGGGGAGACAUCACAAGUGGGCGCGAACAUAAGCACCAGGAGGGGUACCUUGAAUCUGUGGUGGCCGAAGAUGUGCUUGACUCAACCAGAUCUAUGGUGGCCGACGAUCUUGCAAGAGGUGCGCGGUGAUUCGACGUCGACAACGAUCUCUUUCUAUUUUGAUUCUUCUUUUUUUAUUUGUUAUGUUGUUUGUGUUGUUUUCUUUUUAAAAAAUUUUACAGGUUAAAUUGGUGCGGGGUAAAGGUGAUAUUUGGAUACAAACCAUGUGAGAAAGGAGAGUGUAUGGGAAGAGCUUUUAGUGGAGAAUUGGUAAGAUGGUGGUAAAUGACUUUUUUUUAUCUAUGAAGAUGAUGAGUAGUGAUUUUUAGUAUGAUUUUCAACUUUCUGAAAGUGAAAAGAGAAUAACAUGGGAGAGUGCGGUUUUUUUUUGAAAAAAAUAGUAUGAGAUCUUGUAGAUGUGUUUCAGGUGUUUCUCUUGUAUUGUGUAUGUGGCUUUUUUACUGUGUUGUUGGUAUACGCUCGUAAGGGUUCCCUUGUGUAUAAAUUGUUGGAUUAUUUUUAUAUUAAAAAAUUAGGUUAACACAAAUGGAAAC